CGAACAGACGAGGAGCUUGCUCCUCUGACGUUAGCGGCGGACGGGUGAGUAACACGUGGAUAACCUACCUAUAAGACUGGGAUAACUUCGGGAAACCGGAGCUAAUACCGGAUAAUAUAUUGAACCGCAUGGUUCAAUAGUGAAAGACGGUUUUGCUGUCACUUAUAGAUGGAUCCGCGCCGCAUUAGCUAGUUGGUAAGGUAACGGCUUACCAAGGCGACGAUGCGUAGCCGACCUGAGAGGGUGAUCGGCCACACUGGAACUGAGACACGGUCCAGACUCCUACGGGAGGCAGCAGUAGGGAAUCUUCCGCAAUGGGCGAAAGCCUGACGGAGCAACGCCGCGUGAGUGAUGAAGGUCUUCGGAUCGUAAAACUCUGUUAUUAGGGAAGAACAAAUGUGUAAGUAACUAUGCACGUCUUGACGGUACCUAAUCAGAAAGCCACGGCUAACUACGUGCCAGCAGCCGCGGUAAUACGUAGGUGGCAAGCGUUAUCCGGAAUUAUUGGGCGUAAAGCGCGCGUAGGCGGUUUUUUAAGUCUGAUGUGAAAGCCCACGGCUCAACCGUGGAGGGUCAUUGGAAACUGGAAAACUUGAGUGCAGAAGAGGAAAGUGGGAUUCCAUGUGUAGCGGUGAAAUGCGCAGAGAUAUGGAGGAACACCAGUGGCGAAGGCGACUUUCUGGUCUGUAACUGACGCUGAUGUGCGAAAGCGUGGGGAUCAAACAGGAUUAGAUACCCUGGUAGUCCACGCCGUAAACGAUGAGUGCCAAGUGUUAGGGGGUUUCCGCCCCUUAGUGCUGCAGCUAACGCAUUAAGCACUCCGCCUGGGGAGUACGACCGCAAGGU
RNAcentral lists this ribosomal RNA (846 nucleotides) under uncultured Staphylococcus sp. Its description in RNAcentral is "bacterial SSU rRNA". It matches the Rfam family "Bacterial small subunit ribosomal RNA", at positions 63 to 894 of the family's 1533-position model. Lineage: Bacteria; Bacillati; Bacillota; Bacilli; Caryophanales; Staphylococcaceae. The record is from RNAcentral.